AGGACUCACGUAGGGGACACUAAGCCAAUGAUGCCCUUGAAAAACUCUACCAAGUAAGGCAAUGGUUGUCCCACCAUUCAACAAAGUUACGGACUUAAGUAAAAAUGACAAGUCAUGGCCUGACCAAUAACCAUCUUAUCUCGAUAAACAACUAUAUAUACAUGCCUUCGCUCAAUGCAUGAGGUAUGCAACAUUUUCUUUCAUAAACCUCCUUACUAACUCAAUGCUUCAUAGGGUAAAGCUUGAGAGCUCCUCCCAGAUUACUGUAAAGCCUAUUCUUUUUUUUUUCUUAGUGAAUUUCAAGCAACCAAUUACUGUAAAGCCUAUUCUUUUUUUUUUCUUAGUGAAUUUCAAGCAACCAAUUACUGUAAAGCCUAUUCUUUUUUUUUUCUUAGUGAAUUUCAAGCAACCCAUGACGAGUAGCGGAUUUAGGGGCUUUAGUGGGGUGUAUGCACCCCAUUUAACAUGUAAUUUUACUUAAAUUUUAUAUAGAAAAUUUAUAAUUAUAAUUGGUUUUCAGUUAAGGUACCCCAUGAUAAUAAUAAUUUUAUACUAUGCACC
Molecule: long non-coding RNA, 561 nt
Filed under: Lactuca sativa (garden lettuce)
Lineage: Eukaryota; Viridiplantae; Streptophyta; Magnoliopsida; Asterales; Asteraceae
Description: long non-coding RNA (LSAT_LNC000053)
Source: RNAcentral